RNAcentral lists this ribosomal RNA (233 nucleotides) under Salmonella enterica subsp. enterica serovar Typhimurium. RNAcentral describes it as "partial 23S ribosomal RNA". It matches the Rfam family "Bacterial large subunit ribosomal RNA", at positions 60 to 289 of the family's 2925-position model. The record is from RNAcentral. Lineage: Bacteria; Pseudomonadati; Pseudomonadota; Gammaproteobacteria; Enterobacterales; Enterobacteriaceae.
GCUAAUCUGCGAUAAGCGCCGGUAAGGUGAUAUGAACCGUUAUAACCGGCGAUACCCGAAUGGGGAAACCCAGUGUGAUUCGUCACACUAUCAUUAACUGAAUCCAUAGGUUAAUGAGGCGAACCGGGGGAACUGAAACAUCUAAGUACCCCGAGGAAAAGAAAUCAACCGAGAUUCCCCCAGUAGCGGCGAGCGAACGGGGAGGAGCCCAGAGCCUGAAUCAGCAUGUGUGU